RNAcentral lists this ribosomal RNA (496 nucleotides) under uncultured bacterium. RNAcentral describes it as "partial 16S ribosomal RNA". It matches the Rfam family "Bacterial small subunit ribosomal RNA", at positions 29 to 507 of the family's 1533-position model. The record is from RNAcentral.
AUGAACGCUGGCGGCGUGCCUAAUACAUGCCAGUCGAGCGAACAGACGAGGAGCUUGCUCCUCUGACGUUAGCGGCGGACGGGUGAGUAACACGUGGAUAACCUACCUAUAAGACUGGGAUAACUUCGGGAAACCGGAGCUAAUACCGGAUAAUAUAUUGAACCGCAUGGUUCAAUAGUGAAAGACGGUUUAGCUGUCACUUAUAGAUGGAUCCGCGCCGCAUUAGCUAGUUGGUAAGGUAACGGCUUACCAAGGCGACGAUGCGUAGCCGACCUGAGAGGGUGAUCGGCCACACUGGAACUGAGACACGGUCCAGACUCCUACGGGAGGCAGCAGUAGGGAAUCUUCCGCAAUGGGCGAAAGCCUGACGGAGCAACGCCGCGUGAGUGAUGAAGGUCUUCGGAUCGUAAAACUCUGUUAUUAGGGAAGAACAAAUGUGUAAGUAACUAUGCACGUCUUGACGGUACCUAAUCAGAAAGCCACGGCUAACUACGUG